RNAcentral lists this ribosomal RNA (301 nucleotides) under uncultured bacterium. Its description in RNAcentral is "partial 16S ribosomal RNA". It matches the Rfam family "Bacterial small subunit ribosomal RNA", at positions 509 to 807 of the family's 1533-position model. The record is from RNAcentral.
CAGCAGCCACGGUAAUACGGAGGGGGCUAGCGUUGUUCGGAAUUACUGGGCGUAAAGCGCACGUAGGCGGCUUGGUAAGUUAGAGGUGAAAGCCCAGGGCUCAACCCUGGAAUUGCCUUUAAGACUGCCGAGCUAGUAGGUGAGAGAGGUAAGUGGAAUUCCGAGUGUAGAGGUGAAAUUCGUAGAUAUUCGGAAGAACACCAGUGGCGAAGGCGGCUUACUGGCUCAUUCUAGACGCUGAGGUGCGAAAGCGUGGGGAGCAAACAGGAUUAGAUACCCCGGUAGUCCCUGUCUCUUAUAC